CCAUUUAUUUAUUGAUGACGUAGUUGUAUGUCCUUGUACUUUGAACUUGUGUAAUAUGUAAAGUUAUCAAUAAAGGUCUUUCUGCAUUUCCACUGCGCCUCACCUGUAGCGCUCCCCUCUCCCAGGGAGCACAGCUGAUCACGGCUGUCAGAGAACCCGCUUUCAGGCGUUCAUUAAAAUCAGGCGGAGAUCUUUUCUGACGUCGAUCUUCCAGUCAGGAAGAAAACGUUUCAGAAGACACUUCAGAAAAUGUUCGAAAACGAGGAACAAUGUGUUUCUGAUUUUAUUUUCAUUUUAUUUUGGAGAUCGACAGGGAACGUCUCCGAGAUCGACCGGUUGGCGACCACUGCCUUAAGGAAUAAGCAGCAAGCCAAAGAAACGGUGACAUCCAGCUCGAGCUUCUCGUUGAUCACGUGUUGGUGACGUCAGAGCAGGCGGGCUCUCGUCGGACACGCACCCCCCGCGCAUGCGUAGUGCGCAGGUGGACUCUGGCUCCUCUCCAGCGAGCCUCUGUGUUGUCUCCGUGUCUCCAGGAGAAAUGCUGAGACUGUUGGUGAAGCAGCAAGUCGACGCGGUCGUUGAAGAGGCUUUUGUGCUGUUGGACACAUUAACAGCAGCUUAUGAGGACACCGCGUCUCGUCUCGGAGAACAUGAGCUACACACAUCAGGUUGGUGCUGCUUCACGAUGGUUCCCGGGCUUCAUCUCGUUUGACGGCUUCAAGUCACAUGGAGUCCGUUUCCAGCUCGUGGACUGGAGUUAGCGAGACUUGUGGUGGAUGUGGUUCGUUUCCAGCUCUCCUCUGAUCUCAUUCAUCAGGGAGGAACUUUAAACACCUCACGGUGCUCGAGGCAAACUGGUUACGGGAUCUGCACGUGGACAUCUUUUGGGACGGUCUUCAACAUGGCGGCCAGAGCAACUUCUGGAGGAGGAAGCCGGCCGUAAAGUGAUCCAACUGAUAUGUCCAGCAGCUGUUGGCUAUUCAAGCAGAUGUCCCCCCUGAGGACCAGGUCCAGGCUUCAGGAUCUUCUGAGACUGAAGUCAUUCAUGGUGAAUGGCAAGAACCGUUGUCAGAUUCUGGACCUGAAAGUGAAGACGGGGAUGAUAUCUGGAAGGAGACCAGGGAAUCCUUCAGCUUCUUCAAGUGUAGUAAACGGUGUUACUACAAGGGGUUUCUGCAGAAACACAUGAGGUGUCAUUUUGGAAAAAUAUCCUCCAGCGGUUUGUUUGGAAAGAAAUGUUUUAGAGAGAAGCCAAAGAAAGAAUCAUGGCCAAGAGGUCUAACAGGAGAGAAACCAUUCAGUUGUGAUGUUUGUGGGAAAAGAUUUAUGGAUAAGGGGGUUCUGAAGAGACACAUGAGAGUCCACACGGGAGAGAAACCAUUCAGUUGUGAUGUUUGUGGGACCAGAUUUAAAGUACAGGCACAUCUGAAGAAUCACAUGAGAGUCCACACAGGAGAGAAACCAUUCAGUUGCGAUGUUUGUGGGAAAAGAUUUAUACGACAGGCACAUCUGAAGAGACACAUGAGAUGCCACACAGGAGAGAAACCAUUCAGUUGUGAUGUUUGUGGGAAAAGAUUCACAAGACAGGAACAUCUGAAGAGACACAUGAGAUGCCACACAGGAGAGAAACCAUUCAGUUGUGAUGUUUGUGGGAAAAGAUUCACACAACAGGGAGGUGUCAAGAGACACAUGAGAGUCCACCCAGGAGAGAACAUUUGAAAUAAAUGUAAAUGUUUCAAAUGCAAUUUGUUUCUGAAUGAGAUGGAGGGCAAAGUGUUUGUUCAACAGCUGAUGAAUCUUUUAAAUAACAAUGACAACAUAUUGUUUGUCUAUGAUGAAGAAAACAAAAAACUCUGUAAGAAUAUAUCUUUAUUUAAAAUACAUAAAUCUUUGUAAUGCUUUUAAAUCUACAUGUGGACUCGGCCCUGUUACGGCUGAGUGUCGGCUGACUGCUGUGGUCCGGCUUGAUGCGGCUACAUGUGAGCCAGCUUUGGCCUCUUUCAUUUUAGCCAUAUAUAUACAGUAUAUAUGUAUGUGUGUGUGUGUGUGUAUUCUGUAUUUCUCGUCCUGUAACAAUCUAAAGUUGUGACUCUAGUCCUGCUUACUGUAUAUGGGUGUGUGUGUUUGGUGUCAUUAGAUAAACAACAUACACUGAU
Molecule: RNA transcript, 2156 nt
Organism: Pseudoliparis swirei
Lineage: Eukaryota; Metazoa; Chordata; Actinopteri; Perciformes; Liparidae
Gene name: gastrula zinc finger protein XlCGF17.1-like
Exons: 2
Source: RefSeq, a predicted model, not a curated record